Unclassified non-coding RNA from Pan paniscus (pygmy chimpanzee), 86 nucleotides. It matches the Rfam family "Y RNA". From Rfam's summary of the family: Y RNAs are components of the Ro ribonucleoprotein particle (Ro RNP), in association with Ro60 and La proteins. The Y RNAs and Ro60 and La proteins are well conserved, but the function of the Ro RNP is not known. The record is from Ensembl. Lineage: Eukaryota; Metazoa; Chordata; Mammalia; Primates; Hominidae.
GGCCAAAUAACUACAGUCAGUUACUGAUUGAACUCCUUGUUCUACUCUUUUUCCCCCUUCUCACUACUGCACUUGGCUAGUCUUAA